GCACUGAUGAAGAGUCCCAAGUACCAGGACGAAACAGCUGUCCAGUAC
This 48-nucleotide non-coding RNA is filed under the name Trichobilharzia regenti. The record is from RNAcentral. Lineage: Eukaryota; Metazoa; Platyhelminthes; Trematoda; Strigeidida; Schistosomatidae.